Molecule: unclassified non-coding RNA, 624 nt
Filed under: Hevea brasiliensis (rubber tree)
Lineage: Eukaryota; Viridiplantae; Streptophyta; Magnoliopsida; Malpighiales; Euphorbiaceae
Source: RNAcentral
GCCGUUACGAUCCCGAUAAGUCAUAGUACAGCACAUAGUACAGCACGUAGUCCACCAGAAUCGCAUAUCGUACACGCACUAUUCGAUCCGAAUGUCCACUCCGAGUCCGAAGUUAUUCGGUACCGCUAUGCUCCCGACUAGAGGCCGCACACGCUCUUGUCGACCUGCGUCGACGUCGCCUGCACGACGCCGAGCUGGCCCGCCUGGCCGUGCGUGAGCGCGUUCAUCGCGGUCUCCGCGAUGUUGAAGCCGGACCCGGCGUGAUCGAUCGCGAGCACGUUGAUCUUCGUGCCGUUGUACGCCAGCUCCCAGCACGUCCCGCAGUUGGUUGAGUCCCAUCCUUCGAUGGCCUGUGCGCCGCCGAUGAAGGGGAAGUCGGGGAGGUCGCCGAACGUGUGGUACUUCGGCUCAAGCCCGUUGUCUCCGUUGGAGCAGGAGACGAUGUCCAAGGAGUUCGACGGGUUGUCGUAGACGGAGUCCCAGGUCACCUGUACGGUGUUCGCGCGAGUGCGGAGCUCGGCGGGCAGGGCGACGACCACAGAGGCGAGAGUCAGGGCGGAGGCGACGAUCGCGAACAACUGCAUGGCGAGAGUUGUGGAUGCGAUGCGAGGACGAGUGUCUGGG